GGGGCUGAUUCUGGAUUCGACGGGAUUUGCGAAACCCAAGGUGCAUGCCGAGGGGCGGUUGGCCUCGUAAAAAGCCGCAAAAAAUAGUCGCAAACGACGAAAACUACGCUUUAGCAGCUUAAUAACCUGCUUAGAGCCCUCUCUCCCUAGCCUCCGCUCUUAGGACGGGGAUCAAGAGAGGUCAAACCCAAAAGAGAUCGCGUGGAAGCCCUGCCUGGGGUUGAAGUGUUAAAACUUAAUCAGGCUAGUUUGUUAGUGGCGUGUCCGUCCGCAGCUGGCAAGCGAAUGUAAAGACUGACUAAGCAUGUAGUACCGAGGAUGUAGGAAUUUCGGACGCGGGUUCAACUCCCGCCAGCUCCACCA
RNAcentral lists this transfer-messenger RNA (363 nucleotides) under Escherichia coli. It matches the Rfam family "transfer-messenger RNA". From Rfam's summary of the family: Bacterial tmRNA, also known as 10Sa RNA or SsrA, is named for its dual tRNA and mRNA-like properties. Its role is to liberate the mRNA from a stalled ribosome. Lineage: Bacteria; Pseudomonadati; Pseudomonadota; Gammaproteobacteria; Enterobacterales; Enterobacteriaceae. The record is from RNAcentral.